ACGCUGGCGGCGCGCCUUACGCAUGCAAGUCGAACGCCCCGAUUUAUCGGGGAGUGGCGGACGGCUGAGUAACGCGUAGGCAACCUGUCCCACAGUGGGGGAUAACCCACCGAAAGGUGGACUAAUACCGCAUUCGCUCCCGCGGUGAGAACCCGCGGGAGGAAAGCCGCAAGGCGCUGAGGGAGGGGCCUGCGUCCUAUCAGGUAGUUGGUGAGGUAACGGCCCACCAAGCCUACGACGGGUAGCUGGUCUGAGAGGACGACCAGCCAGACGGGGACUGAGACACGGCCCCGACUCCUACGGGAGGCAGCAGCGAGGAAUCUUGGGCAAUGGGCGAAAGCCUGACCCAGCGACGUCGCGUGGGGGAAGAAGGCCUUCGGGUCGUAAACCCCUUUUGCCGGGGAAGAAGCUCUGACGGUACCCGGCGAAUAAGCCACGGCUAACUACGUGCCAGCAGCCGCGGUAAUACGUAGGUGGCAAGCGUUGUCCGGAUUUACUGGGCGUAAAGGGCGUGUAGGCGGUCCGCUAAGUCCGGUGUGAAAUCUCCCGGCCCAACCGGGAGGGGUCAUCGGAUACUGGCGGACUAGAGGGGGGCAGAGGAAGGCGGAAUUCCCGGUGUAGCGGUGAUAUGCGUAGAUAUCGGGAGGAACACCAGUGGCGAAGGCGGCCUUCUGGGCCCAUCCUGACGCUGAGGCGCGAAAGCGUGGGGAGCGAACCGGAUUAGAUACCCGGGUAGUCCACGCCCUAAACGUUGGACACCAGGUGUGGGGGGUAUCGACCCCCUCUGUGCCGUAGCUAACGCAUUAAGUGUCCCGCCUGGGGAGUACGGCCGCAAG
This 836-nucleotide ribosomal RNA is filed under the name uncultured Chloroflexota bacterium. RNAcentral's name for it is "bacterial SSU rRNA". It matches the Rfam family "Bacterial small subunit ribosomal RNA", at positions 33 to 892 of the family's 1533-position model. The record is from RNAcentral. Lineage: Bacteria; Bacillati; Chloroflexota.